Molecule: ribosomal RNA, 465 nt
Filed under: uncultured bacterium
Lineage: Bacteria
Description: partial 16S ribosomal RNA
Rfam family: Bacterial small subunit ribosomal RNA
Source: RNAcentral
GACGAACGCUGGCGGCGUGCUUAACACAUGCAAGUCGAACGGAAAGUCCCUGCUUGCCGGGUACUCGAGUGGCGAACGGGUGAGUAACACGUGGGGGAUCUGCCCUGCACUUCGGGAUAAGCCUGGGAAACUGGGUCUAAUACCGGAUAGUAGCCAUUUUUAGUGUGAUGGUUGGAAAGUUUUUUCGGUGUAGGAUGAGCUCGCGGCCUAUCAGCUUGUUGGUGGGGUAAUGGCCUACCAAGGCGGCGACGGGUAGCCGGCCUGAGAGGGUGGACGGCCACAUUGGGACUGAGAUAGAGACCAGACGCCUACGGGAGGCAGCAGGGGGGAAUAUUGAACAAUGGGAGCAAGCCAGAUGCAGCGACGCCGCGGGGGGGAUGACGGACUUCGGGUUGUAAAUUCAGUUCGCUAGGGACGAAGCUUUUUGUGACGGUACCUAGAGAAGAAGCACCGGCUAACUACGUG